CACCGCGGUUAUACGAGAGGCCCAAGUUGAGGAACAACGGCGUAAAGAGUGGUUAAAAUAAAUCUCAAACUAAGGUUGAAUAUUUUCAGGGCUGUUAUACGCAACCGAAAACAAGAAACCCAACUACGAAAGUGACCUUACCACAAAUGAACCCACGAAAGCUAGGACA
RNAcentral lists this ribosomal RNA (169 nucleotides) under Nandus nandus. RNAcentral describes it as "partial 12S rRNA". Lineage: Eukaryota; Metazoa; Chordata; Actinopteri; Anabantiformes; Nandidae. The record is from RNAcentral.